RNAcentral lists this unclassified non-coding RNA (220 nucleotides) under plant metagenome. RNAcentral's name for it is "partial contains small subunit ribosomal RNA, internal transcribed spacer 1, and 5.8S ribosomal RNA". The record is from RNAcentral.
GCUCCGUAGGUGAACCUGCGGAGGGAUCAUUACAGAGUUCGUGCCCUCACGGGUAGAUCUCCCACCCUGUGUUAUUAUACCUUUGUUGCUUUGGCGGGCCGCCCUCAGCUACCGGCCCCGGCUGGUACGCGCCCGCCAGAGGACCCCAAACUCUGAAUGUUAGUGUCGUCUGAGUACUAUACAAUAGUUAAAACUUUCAACAACGGAUCUCUUGGUUCUG